GGGGUAGUUACUGUUUGUUAUUAUUGCAUGCGAUGGUAUUUAUGUUUCCUAUAUUUACAUAAUCAUUUACGUUAUUUCUGCAGGAUUUACUAAUGCUUUAUUGUUUUGUUUUGUUUUGUUUUUGUUUCUAAUUUUGUCUUUGUUUUUGUUUUUGUUUUUGUUCUAAUGCUGCUUUUCAUUUUAUCCUAUACGGCGAGGGUCG
This 202-nucleotide long non-coding RNA is filed under the name Nicotiana benthamiana. Its description in RNAcentral is "long non-coding RNA (NBEN_LNC019854)". Lineage: Eukaryota; Viridiplantae; Streptophyta; Magnoliopsida; Solanales; Solanaceae. The record is from RNAcentral.